Anguilla anguilla (European eel) is the source of this 466-nucleotide long non-coding RNA. RefSeq lists it as uncharacterized. The record is from RefSeq and is a predicted model, not a curated record. The transcript has 2 exons. NCBI's taxonomy places the organism in Eukaryota, Metazoa, Chordata, Actinopteri, Anguilliformes, Anguillidae.
AACCGAAAGUCAAAGGAAAUUUUAAAACGAGCGGAGAGCAUCGGAGAGGAUCGGGCAGGAUCAAAGUGAGAGAAGACAGCAGGUAGAGAGAGAAAAGGAGAAGUCUCACCUCCACAUGAUACUGUGAUGUUUCCUGCAUGAUGACGUUGGAGUUUGAAUAUUUCUUUCGCUGCUCUGUGAGGUGAAGAGAGAAAAAUCUGAGGAACUCAGGGCAGACUGUGCCCGCUACCCACUAAGACCUGUAUCUCCCGUCCCCCAGCCUCCCACCCCGAUCAGACAGAUAUCAGGGUGACCAAGGAGCCCGGAAAAGACUUUGCAUAGAGUGCGGAACAGCAUCAGAUGAGCGAUUGUGUGAACUUUGCAUGGAAAAGGAAAGUUACCUCACCAUGGAAACACACAGUGGAAGACACACCUGCACGCAAACCUUCGCUGCACUGACAACCAUGGUUACGACGGACGCGGUGUU